UGUCAGUGAUGACAAAUUGAAAGGCCUGUUUCUCAAAAACAUUCGCAGGCGCCUGAUUUGAGAUCUCGCCUUCGCCGGGCUUGAGAACUCAUGAUGCUUCGAUCCUUCCUUGGAUGUCUGAGACA
Molecule: small nucleolar RNA, 125 nt
Organism: Cornus florida
Lineage: Eukaryota; Viridiplantae; Streptophyta; Magnoliopsida; Cornales; Cornaceae
Product: small nucleolar RNA SNORD14
Exons: 1
Source: RefSeq, a predicted model, not a curated record